This 144-nucleotide non-coding RNA is filed under the name Schistosoma mansoni. Lineage: Eukaryota; Metazoa; Platyhelminthes; Trematoda; Strigeidida; Schistosomatidae. The record is from RNAcentral.
CCUGACCGUUGCUGCUACCCUGACGUGGUGACCGGGCUUACCUAUCGUAAUGAACCAAUUGAGCUAUACUGGCUGUAGCAAUCGUUCUUCAAGGUACUACCAUGCCGGACAGGUCGGUUGAAGAGCGGUAAGACUAAAAGCAGC